AGAAUCAACGCUGGCGGCGUGCCUCAGACAUGCAAGUCGAACGCGAAAGUCUCCUUCGGGGGACAAGUAGAGUGGCGCACGGGUGAGUAACACGUAGGUAAUCUACCUUUGGAUGGGGAAUAACAACCGGAAAUGGUUGCUAAUACCGCAUAAUGCAGCGGCACCUAAUGGUGACAGUUGUUAAAGCGGGGGAUCGAAAGACCUCGCGUCUGAAGAGGAGCCUGCGGCGGAUUAGCUAGUUGGUAAGGUAAUGGCUUACCAAGGCUACGAUCC
RNAcentral lists this ribosomal RNA (273 nucleotides) under uncultured soil bacterium. Its description in RNAcentral is "partial 16S ribosomal RNA". It matches the Rfam family "Bacterial small subunit ribosomal RNA", at positions 26 to 282 of the family's 1533-position model. The record is from RNAcentral.